Molecule: ribosomal RNA, 301 nt
Filed under: uncultured bacterium
Lineage: Bacteria
Description: partial 16S ribosomal RNA
Rfam family: Bacterial small subunit ribosomal RNA
Source: RNAcentral
CAGUAGCCACGGGAACACGAAGGGGGCUAGCGUUGUUCGGAUUUACUGGGCGUAAAGCGCACGUAGGCGGAUCGAUCAGUCAGGGGUGAAAUCCCAGAGCUCAACUCUGGAACUGCCUUUGAUACUGUCGAUCUGGAGUAUGGAAGAGGUGAGUGGAAUUCCGAGUGUAGAGGUGAAAUUCGUAGAUAUUCGGAGGAACACCAGUGGCGAAGGCGGCUCACUGGUCCAUUACUGACGCUGAGGUGCGAAAGCGUGGGGAUCAAACAGGAUUAGAUACCCCCGUAGUCCCUGUCUCUUAUAC